GUUUAAUAAAACCUGCCGUCUUCUUAGAUAGUUAACAAGAAAACGCAAAGUCAUUUCCUUUAAGGUGAUAUAGUGUCAAUCUACACAGUGUGCUUUCAUGUGCCAUUGUUACUAAUAUUUAGAAAAUAUCCAACUACAUAGUAUAGGGAAACUUUUUUUCCUCUGGGUUUAUUGAGGCAUACUUUAUAAAUAAAAGUAUGUUAUAUUUCAAAUGUACAAAAUUUUGAAAAGUCCAUACACAUGGUAUGCAAUAAACAGCACAGUCCAGAUAAUAAACAAUUCAGGAUCUCACAUAGUUAACAUUUAUUUGUAUAUAUGUGAAGAAUAUGUAUUAUCUGCUCUCAGCGGAUGUCUUUUUUUUUUUUUUUUUUGAGACAGGUUUUCUCUGUGUAGCCCUGGCUGUCCUGGAACUCACUCUGUAGACCAGGCUGGCCUCGAACUCAGUGGAUGUCUUGAAAAAAAUUAUAAACCCCUACAACAUUUCCAUGAGGACAUUUUUCUGCAGCAUUUCAAAAUAGCCAAGAUACAGACACAGUCUGAGUGACUGCCAACAGACAAAAGGAUAAAGAAAUUCUAUGUAGGGGUUUCUUGGAGGUUAGCUUCCUGCGUUCUUUAUAUAUUUUGGAUAGUAGCCCUCUAUCAGAAGUUGGGCUAGUGAAGAAUUUUUUUCAUAAUUUGUAGGUUGCUUAUUUGUCCUAUUGACUAUGUCCUUUGCCAUACAGAAGAUUUUCAAUUUCAUGAGGUCCCAUUUAUCAGUUUUUGAUGUUAGAGCCUGAGCCACUGGAGUUCUGUUUAGGAAAUACCCCCAUCCCUGGGCCAGUGAGUUCAAGGCUCUUUCCAACUUUCUCUUCAGUGUAUCUGGUUGUGGUCCUUGAUCCACUUGGAUUUGAGCUUUGUGCAAGGUGACAAAUAUGGAUCAAUUUUCAUUUUUCUACAUACAGACUGACCGUUAGACUAGCACCAUUUAUUGAAGAUGCUUUCUUUUUUCCGCUGUAUAUUUUUGGCUUCUUUGUCAAAAAUCAAGUGUCUAUAAGUAUAUGGUUUUAUUUCUUGGUCUUCAGUUCUAUUCCACUGAUCAACCUGUCUGUCUCUGUACCAAUGCCAUGCAGUUUUUAUCACUGUUGCUCUGUAGUAUAGCUUGAGGUCAAGGAUGGUGAUUCCCCCAGAAGUUAUUUUAUUGUUAAGAAUUGUUUUUAUUAUUCUGGGAUCUUUGUUUUUCCAGAUAAAUUUGAAAAUUUUUCUUUCCAUGUCUUUGAAGAAUUUUGUUAGAAUUUUGAUGGGGAUUGCAUUGAAUCUGUAGAUUAUUUUUGGUAGGAUGGCUGUUUUUAGUGUUAAUUCUACCAUCCAUGAACAUGGAUGUUCUCUCCAUUUUCUGUGAUCCUCUCUGAUUUCUUUCUUAAGAGAAUUUAAGUUCUUGUCAUACGGAUAUUCACUUGUUUGGAGUAAAUUUCUUGACUGAGAAAUGGCUCAGUGAUUAAGAGCACCGACUGAUCUUACAUAGGUCCUGGGUUCAAUUCCCAGAAACCACACAGUAGCUCACAACCAUCUGUAAUAGGAUCCGAUGCCCUCUUCUGGUGUGUCUGAAGACAACUACAGUGUACUCAUGUAAAUGUCUUUUCUUUUCUUUCCUUUCCUUUUCUUUUCUUUUGUCUUUUUUUCUCCUUUGAUAUUUUCUUUAUUUACAUUUCAAAUGUUAUCCCCUUUCCUGGUUUCCCCUCCAAAAACCCCCUAACCCCUCCCUACUCCCUCUGCUCACCAAUUCAUCCACUCCCACUUCCUGGCUCUGGAAUUCCCCUACAAUGGGGCAUAGAGCCUUCACAGGAUCAAGGGCUUCUCUUCCCAUUGAUGACUGACAAAAUCAUCCUCUACUACAUAUGUACCUGGAGCCUGGAGCCCUCCAUGUAUACUCUUUGGUUGGUGGUUUAUCAAAAAUGUCCAUCUUGCUGAAAGCAAUUUACAGAUUAAAUGUAAUCACCAUCAAAAUUUCAACUCAAGUCUUCACAGAGUUAGAAAGAGCAAUUUGCAAAUUCAUCUGGAGUAACAAAAAACCUCGGAUAAGCUGGGUGUGGUGGUGCACGCCUUUAAUCCCAGCACUCGGGAGGCAAAGGCAGGCAGAUUUCUGAGUUCGAGGCCAGCCUGGUCUACAAACUGAGUUCCAGGAAAGCCAGGGCUAUACAGAGAAACCCUGCCUCGAAAAAAAACAAAACAAAACAAAACAAAAACAAAAAACAAAACAAAACAAAAAAAAACUCGGAUAGUGAAAACUAUUCUCAACAG
This 2277-nucleotide long non-coding RNA is filed under the name Mus musculus (house mouse). RNAcentral's name for it is "long non-coding RNA chr1:51009533-51011810". Lineage: Eukaryota; Metazoa; Chordata; Mammalia; Rodentia; Muridae. The record is from RNAcentral.